UAGGAAGCAUCUAAGGGAAGGACUGCCCGGU
Molecule: non-coding RNA, 31 nt
Filed under: Homo sapiens (human)
Lineage: Eukaryota; Metazoa; Chordata; Mammalia; Primates; Hominidae
Source: RNAcentral